UAUGCGCCUCUUCUUACGUAGUAUAUUACUUACUCCAUGAUAAUCACUAUGAUUUAUUUGUCUCUGUGGUUGUGGAUAAACUUCUCCGCUGUACUAUUUAACUGCAAGAUAUUAUUUAUUGAAUAUUAACUGUUAUUAAAAUGGAUUUUGUUUAGUGUUCUAGAGAUUUUUAGUUUAUUGCCUGUCGUAUUAUGGUUUUUUGUUUACUAUAUAUUUACCAAAAAGUUAAUUUUAUCUCCGAAUGAUGAACAGUAAAAUCCUUAACACACUAGCUAGCACUAUUGAUAGCAAGGAAGAAGCAAAGAGACGUUUUGAAACUGGCACAAUUAUCCUUGAUGAACUUGGCAAAUGUGUGCAAAAUUGCCUUCACCGAUUCAAAGGCAAAGCUGAGUUAGCUACUGAAGAUGAUACAAGAAUUAUUCUACUUUGUGAAAAAUGGGAAAAAGUACUUGGCCAUGGCAUUAGAACAAACUUAGCAAACUCUACAAUUCAGAACUUGGUCACUGCUGGUUUAAACUUCACAUUCAAUAUAAUAAAUGUUGGUAAUUCACUUUGGAGUUAUACCUGCCUUCAUCUAACAAAACAUGAAAAAGAAAGGUUCAAAAUCUUAUCAAAUAUAAAUACACCAUUGGGAUAUUUUAGGGCUUUUUUAAGGGCUGCCUUGAACGAACGAUCUUUGGAAAGGUAUCUCCAAAGCUGGAUCAGCCAUGGUUUAUUGAUGGAGUAUUAUGAGGAAGGAGCCUUGGUGAGGUGUCCAGAAAUUUCACAUAAACUUCCUGGAAUAGCAUCAGGCUUAUCAACUGUUUUGUUCGCCUUAUCCAUUGACCGGCCAGAACUAAAUGAUUCACAACAACAAUCGAACCAGAUAAACAGAGAGGAACAUGUCAUACCACUGCCUGUGCCCAUUAAGACUUCUAAUAAUUUAAAAAGAAAACCACUUCGGCAAGUUAUAUCUUUUGAUAAAAAUGAACAGAAAAAUCAACCUAAUAACCAAGUAAACUACUUGCCGAACUUAGAGCCGGACAAAGACACAACGUGGCAGAGUGCUCCUGCCACUUGUCUCAACUCACCUGAUCCGAAAAUCAUGCCUCAAGCAGCUUCAACCAGUGAGCCCACCAGUUCAGAAUAUAAAAGCAGUUUCAGGCAUUUCUUUCCUGACAGUGUCAAGGGUAUAGACAGUCCAUCGCAAAUUCUCACCAAACUCUCGGAGUGUGCAAAAGAAAUAUUCUCUUCGUCUAACAGUAUCGACGUAAAUAACGUAGUGAAAGACGAUUUAUCUGAAGUAAGCAUAAAUAACUUAAAAAUAUCAGAAAGUGACAGCGAGGAAGUUGCAGGCAGUAUUAAUGGGAGUACAUCUUGUUUGGAACUUUGUUUUACAGAGGACGAAAGCGUACCUGAUAAUAAGAAUUUGAUGUCCAUCUUAGAAAGUAGGGAAAAAGAUUUUUUAAAUUUGCAAAUGAAAUGUAACCAAAUAGAAUUAGCUAGUAAGGAAAAAAUUCAGAAGUUAGAAAAUGUUGUUAUGGAUUUAAGCAAGGAAAAUGAUAGAUUAAAAGAACAGUUGCGACAUUAUAUGUCUGCAGUUGAAAUGGGAAUAGCUUUAAAAAGCGGUACUAGUACUGAGAAAAUAAAUAAUCAAGACAGUGAUGAAGUAAAUCAAUAUGAAAGAAAGCUGGUGCAGGUAGCUGAGAUGCAUGCGGAACUUAUGGAAUUCAAUCAACAUUUACAACACAGAUUGCAAGAAUUAGAAAGCUCUUCUGGCCUAGAAGUAUUAGAUUAUCCUCAAUCGAAUGUUAAAGUUCAUAUACCAAGUGCAUUUUUAAUAGGGAAGAAAACACAUUCGUAUCAUGUUUAUCAGAUUUUCCUGAAAAUUGGUGCAGAAGAGUGGAAUGUAUUCCACAGAUACGCAAAGUUCUAUGAGUUACAUUCACAACUAAAGAAAUGUCAUCCCGACAUUGCAACUUACAAAUUUCCGCCGAAGAAAACAUUGAGGAAACGAGUAGGGAUUCUCAUUUAGUGGAGCAACGCCGUAUCGCACUGCAGGCUUACCUUCGACACAUUCUCCUAGUUCUGCCGGAGCUAAGGGAAUGUAGGAACCGCGCUCACCUCGUCACCUUACUACCUUUCUUUGGAACGUCAUCGGUUUCUAGAGAAAAUGGAUUAAACAACCUUGAACGUCAACAUUCCAACGAAUCAGUAUCCUCGUACAAUGCACUUUGAUGGGUAUUCAUAGUUUCACAUUAUACGUUAAAAAAAAUUGCUACAACGCAGAUUAAAGUUCGAUGUUCAAGCAUAUGAAGUUGAACGUUAUAAAAUUUGGCGAUUUUUCUAAUUAACACGAUGUUAGUUCCUUUCCAAAUAUCCAAAUAAGUAUUUUGUGUAUUAUUUUAUUUUACAUUAUGUUGUAUUUUACUGUAUACAUUUAACUAAGUACAUUAUGUGAAAAUUCCAGCAAUUAAUGUGUACAAAUAAUAUUUAUUAAUUAUGUUGGUUAGUCUUAAUAAGAUUUUACAGAGUGAAUGUUAAUAUAUUUUGAUUACAAAAUAUGUAGAGUAUGGCUGACAAGUGAACAAGAUAAGCUCAAUGAUAUUGUUGUUACUCAAAUUUUAUCGCCAAUUGAGGCUUAUGGAUGAUCUGAACAAACAACAGAAGUACACUAAUCUCUACGUAUUUUAUAGUCAAAGGAACAAUGCUUUAAAUUCGUUUGUAUAUUGUGUAAUAAUUAUAUAGCAAUGAUAUAUUUAUGUAAAUAAGUAUAAUUAAAACGUAAAGGAUAAAUAUUCCAUAAGGGUAGGUGCACUCCCCAGGAAGCAUUAAUUGCUGCUUCUUAGAGCAUAAGAAGGUUUUAGCUGCCGCGUACUUUAAGUGUAUCGUUUUAAUAUAUUUACACUGGAAAAUUUAAUUUUUAUUGGAGUCAAUGAGGUGCAUAUCCCAUGAUAUCAGUUUUAGUUCGGCUUAUGCUUUUUUAAAAUAAUUUAAUUCUUGCUUAUAUUACUCAAAAUCCUAGACAUACUCAUAUACUACAUAUAUCAUAUUUUGUGUAAAAAUGUAAAAAAUUUGAUUGUUACAGUCUAAUUUUUGUAAGUCCCGGAGUAUAAAUUUCAAAAUUGCAGAAAAAAAAA
RNAcentral lists this unclassified non-coding RNA (3119 nucleotides) under Manduca sexta (tobacco hornworm). Its description in RNAcentral is "sorting nexin-29, transcript variant X1". Lineage: Eukaryota; Metazoa; Arthropoda; Insecta; Lepidoptera; Sphingidae. The record is from RNAcentral.